UACGGAGGAUCCAAGCGUUAUCCGGAUUUAUUGGGUUUAAAGGGUGCGUAGGCGGAUUGAUAAGUUAGAGGUGAAAUGUCCGAGCUCAACUCGGGAACUGCCUCUAACACUGUUGAUCUAGAGAGUAGAUGCGGUAGGCGGAAUGUAUGGUGUAGCGGUGAAAUGCUUAGAGAUCAUACAGAACACCGAUUGCGAAGGCAGCUUACCAAUCUAUAUCUGACGUUGAGGCACGAAAGCGUGGGGAGCAAACAGG
RNAcentral lists this ribosomal RNA (253 nucleotides) under uncultured bacterium. RNAcentral's name for it is "partial 16S ribosomal RNA". It matches the Rfam family "Bacterial small subunit ribosomal RNA", at positions 524 to 776 of the family's 1533-position model. The record is from RNAcentral.